UAGGGAAUCUUCCACAAUGGACGCAAGUCUGAUGGAGCAACGCCGCGUGAGUGAAGAAGGUUUUCGGAUCGUAAAGCUCUGUUGUUGGUGAAGAAGGAUAGAGGCAGUAACUGGUCUUUAUUUGACGUAUCAACAGAAAGAUCACGGCUAACUACGUGCCAGCAGCCGCGGUAAUACGUAGGUGGCAAGCGUUGUCCGGAUUUAUUGGGCGUAAAGCGAGCGCAGGCGGAAUGAUAAGUCUGAUGUGAAAGCCCACGGCUCAACCGUGGAACUGCAUCGGAAACUGUCAUUCUUGAGUGCAGAAGAGGAGAGUGGAACUCCAUGUGUAGCGGUGGAAUGCGUAGAUAUAUGGAAGAACACCAGUGGCGAAGGCGGCUCUCUGGUCUGCAACUGACGCUGAGGCUCGAAAGCAUGGGUAGCGAACAGGAUUAGAUACCCUGGUAGUCCAUGCCGUAGACGAUGAGCGCUAGGUGUUGGGGGACUUUCCGGUCCU
RNAcentral lists this ribosomal RNA (493 nucleotides) under uncultured bacterium. RNAcentral's name for it is "partial 16S ribosomal RNA". It matches the Rfam family "Bacterial small subunit ribosomal RNA", at positions 355 to 839 of the family's 1533-position model. The record is from RNAcentral.